RNAcentral lists this small RNA (204 nucleotides) under uncultured Prevotella sp. RNAcentral's name for it is "Bacteroidales-1 6S-Bacteroidales RNA suggested". It matches the Rfam family "Bacteroidales-1 6S-Bacteroidales RNA suggested". Lineage: Bacteria; Pseudomonadati; Bacteroidota; Bacteroidia; Bacteroidales; Prevotellaceae. The record is from RNAcentral.
GUCGUGCCGGUUCGAUCGGGAUACUCAUCAAAUUAAAUCGAAAACCGAGCUGACUUCACUUGCCAAUGGCGGGCCACAAUUCGUCCCACGUCUCUUUUUCGAGACUUGUGUGGUAAGUAAGCCGAAAGGCCGGUGGAUUACAACGGCAGUGAGCACUCUAAUCUUGUAACACAGGAGUUUUCAUCACAUCACUGGGCGACCCCU